GUCACAAUGGAUGGCUAGAACUCCAUCCCACCAAAACAGACUGAACUUUCAGAAUUUGUAGGAGAAAAUGAAAAAAAGAAAGAGAGAUGUCAGAGAGAGGGGAGAGGUAGAGUUGAGGGAGAGCAAGCGAGGCAGAGACGAGCAGGCGACAUAGCUGGGAGGGAAAGAGGAGAGAUCGAGAUUCAGAGGCAGAGAGUAAAAGAUUGUCAAAAGUGUGUGCGGGAGAGAGAAAAAGAAAGAGAGACACAGCGGGAGUGUCUCUCUGAAGUGGGAUGGGUAAAGGUGAGGUAUCGUGUGAGUGUUUGUUUAGUGGACCUGCCGAAUCCUGUGCUCUAAUUGGUUAAUGGCGUUUUAGUGACAGCCUGUUCCCUCCCUCCCACUGCCUGGUGAGUGUGUAUGUAUGUGUGAGAGCAGACAGAGAGGCUGAGAAGCACAGAGGCAGUCUCUAACUAUAGCCCAAUGAGCUCUCAGCCCCUCACACACACACAGUCUCUCAGCGCUGGCUCAGGCUCCGCUUCAACACUGGGACACAGAGAGAGGCAGCAAGAGGCGGAGAAGGAGAGUAAGAGAGAGAGAGUGAGAAAGAGGAAGAGCGGGAGAUCGGUAGUGUGUAUGUGUGUGUGAGAGAGAGAGCACCAUGGCUUUAGACCCAGGGCUCAUUGCACUGCUUCUAUGGACUAUACCACUACAAGUACUGGGCAACGCCGGAAACAACAAUAACAAUGAAGGUAAAGCUGGUGUCUGUGUGUGUCUGUGUGUGUGUCUGUGUGUGCGUGUGUGCCUGUGCUUGUGUACGAAAGUGAGAGAAGGGCAGCAGGGGAAUCACGUGCAUACACACUGGCACUCACACACACGUUCAUUCGUGUGGACAGGCGUGAAUUAUUUGUGUCUCAUGCCUUCAGCCAGGAUUAACUUAUCACAUGUGGAGCUCAGCUGAAGUAUGAAAGCAAGACUAGCUGAAACACACACCCACACACACACACACAAACACACAAACAUGCCGUCAAGCCCAAUCUGAACUUCCUAUCUGUUAGAAAGUUCAUCCUGGCAAAGUGAUGAAAGUUUCCCCUGAAGGCAAUGCCUUAUGGGGAUGCUUGGUGUGUGUGUGCUGUUGAGUCUAUGUGUGUGUUUGUGCACAUGCAGAGAUUGCUCAUAUUGCUUGGUUAUGCAUGAGCUGGUGUAUGAGUGUGUAUCUGCAUGAGAGAGAUUGGAUACGUGCGUCGCAUGCCAUCUAAGUACAAUAUUUCCUCAACAAAACGUUUUCUUGGAAAAAGCAUGUAAACCAAUCAGCAAUGGGCAGUAGGCCAGGGAUAGAAGAUUACAGAGACAUUGAUUGUUGUGUUCAGUGACUAAAUGACACAGGGACAACAUGCA
Molecule: long non-coding RNA, 1374 nt
Filed under: Salmo salar (Atlantic salmon)
Lineage: Eukaryota; Metazoa; Chordata; Actinopteri; Salmoniformes; Salmonidae
Description: lncRNA (ENSSSAG00000113708.1)
Source: RNAcentral